GGUGUGGUAGUUCAGUUGGUUAGAAUACCGGCCUGUCACGCCGGGGGUCGCGGGUUCGAGUCCCGUCCACUCCGCCA
RNAcentral lists this transfer RNA (77 nucleotides) under Pseudoalteromonas sp. RNAcentral's name for it is "tRNA-Asp". It matches the Rfam family "tRNA". From Rfam's summary of the family: Transfer RNA (tRNA) molecules are approximately 80 nucleotides in length. Their secondary structure includes four short double-helical elements and three loops (D, anti-codon, and T loops). The record is from RNAcentral. RNAcentral also lists the same sequence under 1 other name. Lineage: Bacteria; Pseudomonadati; Pseudomonadota; Gammaproteobacteria; Alteromonadales; Pseudoalteromonadaceae.